Long non-coding RNA from Capsicum annuum, 1167 nucleotides. RefSeq lists it as uncharacterized. The transcript is spliced from 2 exons. The record is from RefSeq and is a predicted model, not a curated record. Lineage: Eukaryota; Viridiplantae; Streptophyta; Magnoliopsida; Solanales; Solanaceae.
UUUAGUAAAAGCUUUAAUCAUUGCUAUUGAUAUACAACCGUUGCAAUAGAGUGAUUUAUAGCAACACUUGCAUAAACCGUCACCAUAAAACCACCUUUGGCAACGCUUAAUUGAGUAAAAAAGCUAUUGCAACGACUUUAAUUUUUUUCCUCCCCAAUUUUUUACAAAGCGCCCCAAAAUAUAAUGAAUUAUAUCACAAAAAAUAAAAUAAAUUAAAAAAUAACUGAUCCACUUUGGUGUCAAGGGUUAACACACUAAGUAAAUCUUCAAAUCAAAAUGUUUGGGUGUCCGAUCAUCGUUUACUCCAGAUCGAUCAACUGCUCCGAAUCGAUUGAUCUUCAAAUCAAUGAUCUAGGCUCCAGUACACAUCCGAUCGAUCGAGUGCUCCACAUCUCAAAUCAGUGGUCCGAUCUACUACUGCUCUGACCACCGAUGCUCCGACCGCUUUCGAUUGAAUUUUAGUAAUCUAUUGAAGCAGGGUGGAAUUCUACAGUUUGUGGAAUUCUUGUAUCUCUCUGUUCACUCAGUGGCGUCGUACUAGGUACCCUCUGUUAAUUUUGACAAAUACAACAAUAACUUCCAAAUUCUUUUUUGUUUUCUCACAAAUAGUACAAUUGUACAUUGUCAAACACAAUUAGUGCCAUGAAAACUGAUGGAAUGGCUUUAUUUACUAAUGAAAGAGAGAAUUAGAUAAGGAGAAAGAACACGAGGUUUGAGUUACGGAUAGGGAUGCUGAGUGGAGUCUGGGAUUAAAUAUAGAUUCCGGUGGUGGUGCUGGUGGUGAGGACGAUGAUAAUGAUAGCCAAGGUGGUGUUGGGAUUUUGCACAAGAAUUUGACUUUAUCUAGCAGUGCACUUCAGGGACUGCUUAGGAAAUUGGGUGCUGGAUUGGAUGAUUUACUCCCUAGCUCUGCAAUGGGGUCAGCAUCAUCGUCUCACCGGAGUGGACGACUCAAGAAGAUAUUAGCUGGUUUAAGGGCAAAUGGCGAGAAAGGGAAAUAGGUAGAGGCUUUGAUGCAGCUGAGUGAGAUGCUUUCCAUUGGAACAGAAGACUCCCUGUCCACAUUUUCUAUGUAUUCAUUUGUUCCAGUACUUUUGGGUUUAAAUUACUAGCUUGUUGCAUAUUUUGAAUUAUGAGAUUAUUAAUUAAUGAUUUUAUUGUGUGAUG